Cricetulus griseus (Chinese hamster) is the source of this 2030-nucleotide non-coding RNA. The record is from RefSeq and is a predicted model, not a curated record. NCBI's taxonomy places the organism in Eukaryota, Metazoa, Chordata, Mammalia, Rodentia, Cricetidae.
CUUUGAAACAAUGGGUGGAGAUCAUAAUUACAACCAUGGAUUUUCAAAAGGAUCGGAGAAGGUAAAGCGUGAGAAUUACGUAUGUAUUUCAUUUAAUAAUCCUCUGACCUCUGUCAGAGCAUCCUGAGACUAAUGGAUAAAAACCCAUUGGCGUCUAGUCACUGAGCCACCCACUGGGCUCCAACUAAAAGCACAGGAGCUGGUCGUUCAAAGAAAGACCUGCUACAUCUGGUUCAAGGUUUCCGGUAUCUGAAGCACCAGAAACAGUGUUGCUGAGACUCUUCUAGGAUAUGCUGCUAUUGCCCAGAGUCAGAGAGAUGUUGUGCUGAUCCUGUGGCUGGGCGGGGCGUCCUGCGGCAGGAUCCUUGGGAGCUCCAGGCCAUUACAUACCUCUCCUCCCACGCACCAGCCAUCCCAGCAGCUAACCUGUAUGACCAUCUUGGGCAUCUCCACUGCCCACGCAGGGCAAACAGCACAAGCAGCAGGAGCACUGGCUCCAUGCUCCAGGGCAGGCCAGCUGUCCCAAACCUCCUGGCAGAUCCAGGCCCCGCCCUAGCAAAGACCUGUCCCCAGAGCUGCUCUCCCAUACUGAGCCCAUACCUUUCUUUUCCAGCUCCACUCUGCCGUCUUUUGUCCCACAAGACCUGCCCGCCCCUUUCCUUCGAGAGAUACUGAGUGCUCUGCAGACUCCUCCUCUGACCCCUCAUCUCCAUCUGUGUCUCUCAGGCUUCUCAGAGCUGCCAUGCAGUCCCGAGGGUGCUGGCAGCCCCCACCAUCCUGAAGGCUUAUCAAGACUUACAUAGCCUUCAACAGCCUUCCCUGUUCAGGAUCCAUUCGUACUGAUGUUUGUGACUUAAUGGAAUCCCUUCAUGUCUCAAAAGAAGUGACUCUUCCCUCGGGAUAAAGGGUCCGCCCUAGAAGACUAAUUAGGUUCAAUUGCUGUGAUGAAGACCAUGACCAAAAGCAACUUGGACAGGGAAAAAUGUGUUUGCCUUUCAUAUACUGGGCCAUUGAGAGAAACCAAGACAAAAGCCUAGAGACAGGAACUGAAGGAGAAGCUGCUUAAUGGCUAACUCCCCAUGGCUUGUUCAGACUGUUUUCUUGGAUCACCCAGGGCAACCUGCUCAAGGAUGGUGUCAUCUACAGUAAGCUGGACCUUCCCACAUCAGUCAUCAGUCAAGAAAAUGCCUCCAUAGACAUACACCGGGCCUGUGCAUAUUGUCAUAACCAUGACAGCUGUCCUGUUGUGUCAGGAGAACAUAGUUCCUUUGUAUUUACUUAUUGACUACCUCUUACUCUCCCAGACUUCCCUCCCCCUCUUCAGCAAUGAUCCAUGCACCUUGGGAAGAGAGGGUACAGCAUGGAUGUUUCAUUUAGGGGUGAACAUUCCACAGGCCCUAGUUCUCUGCACUUUGGCCAGUAUGUUGGUCUCUGACUGCUGUAAAUUUUUCUGAAGAGGGUUGAGAGAUACAUUAAUCUGUGUCUCCUGUCAUGUGGGCAGUAGAGCUGUUUGUUUCUGAGACAAGGUUAGAGAGGUGAAAUGGUACCAAAUAGAUGACAUUUGAACAAUAAUCAAAAAGAAGGAAGGGAAUGAACUAUUCUCAGCCUGCUCUGUAUGAUUCCAGUUAGUGGGUUAUGUUAGUAAGAAGAGUCAUGGGCUCGUGACAAUUGUGAAACUAUCCUAGUGUUACACUGAGUGAGGUUCUAGGUUCUGUAAAAUAUGAAUAUCUUGACUAAUACUGUCUAUGCAGGGCCAGGGAUGUAGAUGUAUGUAAUAGAACAAGUUUGUAAAACAAGUCAUUUCAUUUAUUUUCCUUUAUGAAUUUUAUUUUAUGUGAUGGGACAGAACAAAUUCCAGCCUGGAAAGGGAGGUGAGCUUUAAGGCCCAUCUGCAGCCCAGGAGCUCAGGGCAACUGAUAGCCACAGGAAGGAGGGAAGUCACCCUUCUUUCAGAGUGUUACCACUGGUAUGUCACCUGCACUCCAGUGGAAGGCCACAUAUCCAAGAAUAUAUGGAUGAUGCAAAUUGGA